RNAcentral lists this small RNA (113 nucleotides) under Paraburkholderia tropica. Its description in RNAcentral is "ykkC-yxkD". It matches the Rfam family "Guanidine-I riboswitch aptamer". Rfam says of the family: This family represents a conserved RNA structure found upstream of the ykkC and yxkD genes in Bacillus subtilis and related genes in other bacteria. The record is from RNAcentral. Lineage: Bacteria; Pseudomonadati; Pseudomonadota; Betaproteobacteria; Burkholderiales; Burkholderiaceae.
UGACAGGAAAACUAGGGUUCCGGUCCGCACCAUGCACGACGCGGAUGACUGGUCCGAGAGUUUUCCGGCUCCGGCUUCAAGGGGCUCCACGGAGGGAUAAAAGCCCGGGAGAU